AGUUUAUAAUAAGCCCAACUUCGACCUGGGUAAGGUAAAAUAUUUUUACAUAAACUA
Molecule: transfer RNA, 57 nt
Filed under: Amyrsidea minuta
Lineage: Eukaryota; Metazoa; Arthropoda; Insecta; Psocodea; Menoponidae
Description: tRNA-Arg
Source: RNAcentral